GACGAACGCUGGCGGCGUGCCUAAUACAUGCAAGUAGAACGCUGAAGGAGGAGCUUGCUUCUCUGGAUGAGUUGCGAACGGGUGAGUAACGCGUAGGUAACCUGCCUGGUAGCGGGGGAUAACUAUUGGAAACAAUAGCUAAUACCGCAUAAGAGUAGAUGUUGCAUGACAUUUGCUUAAAAGGUGCAAUUGCAUCACUACCAGAUGGACCUGCGUUGUAUUAGCUAGUUGGUGGGGUAACGGCUCACCAAGGCGACGAUACAUAGCCGACCUGAGAGGGUGAUCGGCCACACUGGGACGGAGACACGGCCCAGACUCCUACGGGAGGCAGCAGUAGGGAAUCUUCGGCAAUGGACGGAAGUCUGACCGAGCAACGCCGCGUGAGUGAAGAAGGGUUUCGGAUCGUAAAGCUCUGUUGUAAGAGAAGAACGAGUGUGAGAGUGGAAAGUUCACACUGUGACGGUAUCUUACCAGAAAGGGACGGCUAACUACGUG
This 495-nucleotide ribosomal RNA is filed under the name uncultured bacterium. Its description in RNAcentral is "partial 16S ribosomal RNA". It matches the Rfam family "Bacterial small subunit ribosomal RNA", at positions 28 to 507 of the family's 1533-position model. The record is from RNAcentral.